AGGUUGAACGCUGGCGGCAUGCUUUACACAUGCAAGUCGAACGGCAGCACGGGGGCAACCCUGGUGGCGAGUGGCGAACGGGUGAGUAAUGCAUCGGAACGUAUCCUUGAGUGGGGGAUAACGCAGCGAAAGUUGUGCUAAUACCGCAUAAGCUCUGAGGAGGAAAGCGGGGGACCGAAAGGCCUCGCGCUGAGAGCGCGGACUGUCGACUUAGUCUAGUUGGGUUGGAGGGGUAAACGGCCUUACCAAGGCGACGAUCGGUAGCU
This 266-nucleotide ribosomal RNA is filed under the name uncultured prokaryote. RNAcentral's name for it is "partial 16S ribosomal RNA". It matches the Rfam family "Bacterial small subunit ribosomal RNA", at positions 26 to 288 of the family's 1533-position model. The record is from RNAcentral.